Molecule: ribosomal RNA, 368 nt
Filed under: uncultured Allobrachymonas sp.
Lineage: Bacteria; Pseudomonadati; Pseudomonadota; Betaproteobacteria; Burkholderiales; Comamonadaceae
Description: bacterial SSU rRNA
Rfam family: Bacterial small subunit ribosomal RNA
Source: RNAcentral
UUUCGUGCUCGAAAGAGAACCUGCACACAGGUGCUGCAUGGCUGUCGUCAGCUCGUGUCGUGAGAUGUUGGGUUAAGUCCCGCAACGAGCGCAACCCUUGCCAUCAGUUGCUACGAAAGGGCACUCUGAUGGGACUGCCGGUGACAAACCGGAGGAAGGUGGGGAUGACGUCAAGUCCUCAUGGCCCUUAUAGGUGGGGCUACACACGUCAUACAAUGGCCGGUACAAAGGGCAGCCAACCCGCGAGGGGGAGCCAAUCCCAUAAAGCCGGUCGUAGUCCGGAUCGCAGUCUGCAACUCGACUGCGUGAAGUCGGAAUCGCUAGUAAUCGUGGAUCAGCAUGUCACGAUGAAUACGUUCCCGGGUCUU